AGUGAACGCUGGCGGUAGGCCUAACACAUGCAAGUCGAACGGCAGCACAGUAAGAGCUUGCUCUUACGGGUGGCGAGUGGCGGACGGGUGAGGAAUACAUCGGAAUCUACUUUUUCGUGGGGGAUAACGUAGGGAAACUUACGCUAAUACCGCAUACGACCUACGGGUGAAAGCAGGGGAUCUUCGGACCUUGCGCGAUUGAAUGAGCCGAUGUCGGAUUAGCUAGUUGGCGGGGUAAAGGCCCACCAAGGCGACGAUCCGUAGCUGGUCUGAGAGGAUGAUCAGCCAACCGGGAACUGAGACACGGUCCAAACUCCUACGGGGGGCAGCAGGGGGGAAUUUGGGCAAAUGGGCGCAAGCCUGAUCCAGCCAUACCGGGUGGGUGAAGAAGGCCUUCGGGUUGUAAAGCCUUUUUUUUGGGAAAAAAAAGCAGCAGGUUAAACCCCCGCUGUUCUGACGGUACCAAAAGAAUAAGCACCGGCUAACUUCGU
Molecule: ribosomal RNA, 491 nt
Filed under: uncultured bacterium
Lineage: Bacteria
Description: partial 16S ribosomal RNA
Rfam family: Bacterial small subunit ribosomal RNA
Source: RNAcentral